UCCUACGGGGCGCAGCAGUAGGGAAUCUUCCACAAUGGGCGAAAGCCUGAUGGAGCAACGCCGCGUGGGUGAAGAAGGUCUUCGGAUCGUAAAACCCUGUUGUUAGAGAAGAAAGUGCGUGAGAGUAACUGUUCACGUUUCGACGGUAUCUAACCAGAAAGCCACGGCUAACUACGUGCCAGCAGCCGCGGUAAUACGUAGGUGGCAAGCGUUAUCCGGAUUUAUUGGGGGUAAAGGGAACGCAGGCGGACUUUUAAGUCUGAUGUGAAAGCCUUCGGCUUAACCGGAGGUGGGCAUUGGAAACG
RNAcentral lists this ribosomal RNA (305 nucleotides) under uncultured bacterium. RNAcentral describes it as "bacterial SSU rRNA". It matches the Rfam family "Bacterial small subunit ribosomal RNA", at positions 337 to 634 of the family's 1533-position model. The record is from RNAcentral.